CAUCAUGUUACCUGCUAGGGAACACACUCUCUCAGCUGCUGCGACACUGGCUGGAAUGCUACUGCCGAAAGAUCUAAAAUAUUCGGCUCGCAAAAUUCUAAAAUUUUAGAAAUGGAAGGCAAUACAAGGCAUAGUGAUGUCUCGCUUAAUAUUGCAUCCACACAACCCCAGUUAUCCAGAAUGGGUUUCAGCAUUUUGUAGUUGGAGUUCCAUCUAGUCGGACAUGCGCUUUUUAAAGUCGUUUCUAAAGUGCUGCAAAUUUGCAAAUCUUGUUGAGUUCAAUGGCCUUGUCAAAUAUUUUUCUAAAACAUUUGACAACAGGUGACUGCUAUAAUUAAAACGGGUGUUGCCCUCUAAAGCCUUUUUAAUAUUUGCUCCCCUGGCAGUCACAAACCUAACACUAUCAAUGUUCUCAACAUCGAAUUCCGAAAAUAAGCACUUCAUUUUCAUUAAAAUGUUUUCUUUCAAAAUCUUCCAGAAGAUCUACCAGAACAUUUAAUGUGGAUGUAUUUACAUCUAUAUGGAUUUCAGUCUCACUUAAUAUUGCAUCCACACAACCCCAGUUAUCCAGAAUGGGUUUCAGCAUUUUGUAGUUGGAGGUUCAUCUAGUCGGACAUGUGCUUUUCAAAGUCGAUUCUAAAGUGAUGCAAAUUUGCAAAUUUUGUUGAGUUCAAUGGCGUUGUCAAAUAUUUUUCUAAAACAUUUGGCAACAGGUGACUGCUACAAUUUAAACGGGUGUUUCCCUCUAAAGCGUUUUUAAUAUUUGCUCCAUUGGCAGCCACAAACUUAACAUUAUCAAUGUUCUCAACAUCGAAUUCCGAAAAUAAUCACUAAAUUUUCAUUAAAAUGUUUUCGACAGUUGAUUUUUGAAAAUCGAUCGAUUUGAGUGGAAAGUGAUGCCCAUUCUUUGGACAUACUCGUCAGUCCACAUGUCAACGAUCGCACUUGCUCCUCCACUAUCAACAGCUUCUUUUAUCUCGGUCGAGAUUAGAGUCCUCUUUUUAUCUGCAUCCGAUUUGGCUUUCCGACGUUAAUGCUGUUGGAAGGGUAGUAAGUCAUAAUUUUUAAAUCCGGCAGAAAACGGCCGACAAUCUUGCACAACCCAUUGGAUGCAUCGGGAAAUAUUUUCAAUAUUCGAACAUACUUUUACACACCUUAAAUAAUAAUCUUGAUGCUUAUUUUUUUUUUAAGUGCGACAAACGACAAAAAAAGCGAUAUCUUAUGUGAAAAAAUAUCACGAUCUAAAUAUUUAUUUUUAUUAAAGAAUAUCGAUAUAUUGAUAUUUUGAUAUACUUUUCACAUCCCUAAUUCUUCGUAAUUUCCCUUAGCACAGAAGCUUUGAGAGCACUAAGAGUGACUGCCGAUAAGAAUCUGAAUACAAGCUAUGAGCAAAGGAAUUUCCUUUUAUUACGGUGAAGAAAAUACAGCUAAAUAACUAGUGAUAAACACACCUAAUAAAUUUCUGAUAUCCUGAUUGACAAAAUACAAUAAAUAUGCCAUCUAAAAUUUGGUUUUUCGACACAUUUUGGGCCAAUCACAUUCUUUAGACGGAGGAAAUUUGGCUUUUUAUAGCAUAUACAUAUACAUAUAUACAUUAUUUAUACAUAUAUAAAUUAACAAAGCUUUUACAUUUUACAUGAACAUGAACAUUGCAAAAAAAUGGAACUUUAACACCACUUUAAUCUGAUUAACUUUUAUAGAAUUGGUUGCCAACCCCUUUGGUUGUCAAAACCUUUCCUUUAGUGUACUGCAUUUUAUGUUCGAGCGAUCGCAGCAGAAUUGUUGUAUAGUAGUAUAGUUCGUUCGUCACUAUGUCGGCUGCAGUUAACCAAAUUUUUUUUUCCAAACUAUAAUAAUGAACAAGUUUAUUAUCUAAGCAAUUUGGAGAUAAAAUAUUAAAAAAAUGUAUUUCUCAUUCUGGCAAUAUUUCUGUAUUAGUUAUUAUCAUUGCUCACAGGAAAUAUGUUGAGUAACACAGUGAAGUUAUUGAGUCACAUGAGCUUACAAAUCAUUUGAGACCUCUGAUUCAUACAUACAUGUGGAAUGUACGAGGACUAAUAAAAUUACUGAGCACAACUUUUUGUUUUAA
Drosophila teissieri is the source of this 2089-nucleotide RNA transcript. It is a transcript of the gene named cell wall protein RTB1, with no coding region annotated. The record is from RefSeq and is a predicted model, not a curated record. The transcript is spliced from 3 exons. NCBI's taxonomy places the organism in Eukaryota, Metazoa, Arthropoda, Insecta, Diptera, Drosophilidae.